AAGAUAAUUUAAACGAGAAUUAUUAAUCAAAGAAAAAAACAAUUGACUGUUGCUAAGAUCAAAAGAGUAACGGAAAAAAUUUGAAGUCAAAGUGCGCAAUCAUAAUGACUGUAACCGUUGGUUACAGCUUUUCAAUCCUAUUUACACAAUUAAAAUGUUAAAUAAUAAAUAGCAGAACGACGAUACAAUUAAUAUUUAGACUAGUUGAUUCAUUAAAUUAAUUGAUUUAACAUCUAAAAAUAAAUGUGUCUAAAGCUGAAUUGAAACUGUUGCUGGCUAUAAUAAGAUCAGUAAGUUUAGCUCGUAAGGCUAUUUAUCAGUCAAAUAAUGACGCACUUUGUCAUUGUUACAAAAAAACGGUUAAAUUUUUCGCUUUCAUCAUAAAUUCAUGUGAAAUGUCUUUUCAUCUCAAACUAAUUGUGUUCUUUUGUUUUAAUCCCAAGUGUUAAUCUUUAUUAUGAUGACAUUUUCUGAACCUGCCUUCAAAUCUUGUAAAGAAUUGAGUCUGAAUUUUUGUUUUAGAGAAUGCAUUUCUCAGCCUCUCUCAUGUUUUUGUCAUCAUCACUCCAUCAACGUGAUUUAUUUUUUCUUCUUUUCUCAAUAAAAGGAAUUUUAUUCAUCACAAUUUUCACCAUGACUUUUCCAAUCUUGUUACGCAACCUGUUUUUAUCAUGAACGAUUGAAUUGAUUGUCUUGGUAAAUCAGGUAAAUCACUUACAUAGUUUUCACGGAGAUCUGGAUGCAUGUAAUCGACUCCUAUUGGAAUAAAGAGAAAAGAAAAUGACUUUAUUUUAGUAAACUGGAUUUCUUCUGAGCUUUUUUCGCAUGAAAAAAAGUAAAGGAUGGUUAUCAGAAAGAUCUGAAGUGAGCUUAAUUUGAAAGAUAAACACAAUUAUUUGCUUACCAUCAUCCAUAAUGGCGGUUGUUACAUUUUUCCCUGUAUACCCUUGGGCCCAGGCUGCCUCCACAUUUAAGUCCAAUUUCGGUUUGCCCCCAUUUUGGCCGACAUUUUUCUAUUUUCAUGGUGAUAUCAAAUGAGAAGAGACAGGCUUGGUUAAAGUUGCAAGGAAAUUUUUCACCUUCUAUUAUUUCACCUAAUAUUAUUACAAGUGGAGUUGAUAACUUGCAAGUACAAAGAAAGACAAUUUGCUGACUAUUUGUCUCUAUGUUGGUCCCUGUCUAUCCAAAAUAUAACAACGUAGUUUAUUAAACAAUACUUUUAGAUGAACAGUAAAGGAGUGGAUUAAAAAACUGGAAAAGCCUUCAGGUUGUCUGAGAAAAAAAAUUUUCUCCAGACAUCAAUAAUAAAUCUCUUUAUUCAGAAGCAUUCUGGAUUCUCAAGAAUUGUCAAGAAAUUCCACUUUUGAAAAGAGAAAAAGAAUCAAAGGAUAACUCACCAGAUACCAUUGGUAAGGAAAGUAAGGAUCAGAUGGCUCCUGAUUAAGUGAAAGGUGUUCUGGACCCAGAAUAAGUUGGCGAUAACCACGUUUAACUCGUUUAAAUCCAGAUUGCUGGACCGCAAAAUCUACCUUGUAGGAUAUUGAACAGAUUUGUUGAUCAAUUUGGCCAUUCUAAUGAAAUAUUCCGGACAAGAUUGAACAAUCUACAUGGUGUCAAGUUUAAACUUGCUUUCUCAGUUUGUGAAGUUAAUCUAGAUUUAGGUUAACCCUUACCUGCGGAUCAUUUUUAAGCUUCCUGGUAUGAGAUAUACUUCUUUUUGUUCUGGAAUGUGGUAAUGCCCGAUGAAGAAAAUGAAACUCAUCAGGAGAAUUGAGAAGCUAUAGUUUGGAAAAGAAAGGAUUUAAGGAAUAAAUAGAAGAAAAUUGUACAAUGUUCAUUAAUCUUUCAAUAGUUUUGGGAAAAGUGAUUGUUAUCAAUAUUUUCUCUUGAAGCAUUUCAGACAGUAAAUAUAAUGUUGGUUUCUAAACAGAUUCAUCAUGAUUGUGACAAAGAAUAAAAAAUAUCUGAAGUAUCAUUUGCGAUACUCAUUUUAUCCGGAUAACCUUUGAAACUCCCUGUAUAAAAGAAUCAACAAUUGAUGGAUUAAUUCUUGCUUUAUCAGACUCAGACUUGUAGACGUAUCAUGUUCAUGUUACUUGCAAAACCCUUGGUCUUCGAUUGGGAAACAAACCUAUGGUUUUAUAAGGAUUGUGAGAAAUGGAUUCAAUCUAAAGCUCGAUUGGUUCAACAAUUUCAUUGGAGAAUAACUUUUAACCUUCAGUUUUAGGUUGGAGGAAAUUUGAUAAAUAUAACUGCAAAAUUAUACUCUUUUACAACCAAACAUCAUCAAUCUUCAGUUCUAAAUGAUAAAUGAUGAAUUAAUUUUUUAAGCUUAUUAAUAUACUUUUUUGAAUCUUUGAAUCAUGUUUAUUUCAAUUUGUUAGAAAGCUGGUCCAAACGAACGACAUCAAAUUAAACUUUAAUGGAAUCGAGAAGUUUAACUGCCGGUUAUAAUGAUUAAGGAGCUGGAAGUAUUAAACAUGGAAUCGAACGCCAAGCAGUCGAUCAUUGAAAACUUGCUCAAUCGAUAUACUCAAAUUAAUCUUACUUUAAUUGAAGAAAAUGUCAAGCUUCCUGUGACUUGUAUUUAAUGACUAGAUUGACAAAAAUAUAAUGAUCAUGCAAGGAAAAAAUGAGAUGCAAAUCAUAUCCAUUAUCAUGUGAUAUCAACCUAACCUUGGAAUUAUUCAUUCUUGUUCGUCUAAUUUUCUAUCUCAACUGCUAUGAAAUGUAUUGUACUAUAAUAAUCAGUAUGAAACAAUUUAUUUAAAACGUGACUUCACCGUCACCAAUAGUUAACCUGACUCUGGUAAAUAACCAAGUAAAGAAAGGAUUGAAAUAUAAUCAACUGUAAAUUUAAAGGCUCAAAAUUAUCUGGAUUUUGAUACAUUAAACUGAAAGACUGUUGAAAAAUAAUCGGUUGAAUGUGUAAUGUAAUCGACUAAUAAUUGAAUGAUAUUUGUCUAUCCAACAAUUGAUAAGUAAUAGUUAAUCAAGGAUAACAUAUCAAAUCUUUCAAUCCUCCAUGAAGUGGAGUUUUCAGUAUUUAUUUGGAUGUAACAGUCCAAGAGUAAAGUAUACAACAGAAUGUCUGGAAACUAUCAGCUUUGGAGUGAUUCAGUUUUAAUAAUUAUUUUAACAAUAUUUUAACCAAAAUAAUAAAUCAGAUUGAAACGUUUCUAGGUUCAUUCAAUGAAUGAAAGCUCAAUACAAUAAUCAUUGAUACAAUGAAU
Tetranychus urticae (two-spotted spider mite) is the source of this 3233-nucleotide non-coding RNA. Lineage: Eukaryota; Metazoa; Arthropoda; Arachnida; Trombidiformes; Tetranychidae. The record is from RefSeq and is a predicted model, not a curated record.